This 273-nucleotide ribosomal RNA is filed under the name uncultured bacterium. RNAcentral's name for it is "partial 16S ribosomal RNA". It matches the Rfam family "Bacterial small subunit ribosomal RNA", at positions 523 to 796 of the family's 1533-position model. The record is from RNAcentral.
AUACGGGGGGUGCAAGCGUUAUUCGGAUUUAUUGGGCGUAAAGAGCGCGUAGGCGGCUUGGUAGUCAGAUGUGAAAGCCCGGGGCUCAACCCCGGAAGUGCAUUUGAAACUAUCAGGCUCGAGUAUGGGAGAGGGAAGUGGAAUUCCUGGUGUAGAGGUGAAAUUCGUAGAUAUCAGGAGGAACACCGGUGGCGAAGGCGACUUCCUGGACCAAUACUGACGCUGAGGCGCGAAGGCGUGGGGAGCAAACAGGAUUAGAAACCCCAGUAGUCC